This 332-nucleotide ribosomal RNA is filed under the name uncultured bacterium. Its description in RNAcentral is "partial 16S ribosomal RNA". It matches the Rfam family "Bacterial small subunit ribosomal RNA", at positions 338 to 667 of the family's 1533-position model. The record is from RNAcentral.
CCUACGGGAGGCAGCAGUGAGGAAUAUUGGUCAAUGGACGAGAGUCUGAACCAGCCAAGUAGCGUGAAGGAUGACUGCCCUAUGGGUUGUAAACUUCUUUUAUAUGGGAAUAAAAUGUUCCACGUGUGGGUUUUUGUAUGUACCAUAUGAAUAAGGAUCGGCUAACUCCGUGCCAGCAGCCGCGGUAAUACGGAGGAUCCGAGCGUUAUCCGGAUUUAUUGGGUUUAAAGGGAGCGUAGGUGGAUUGUUACGUCAGUUGUGAAAGUUUGCGGCUCAACCGUAAAAUUGCAGUUGAAACUGGCAUUCUUGAGUACAGUAGAGGUGGGCGGAAU